CCUACGGGUGGCAGCAGUGAGGAAUAUUGGUCAAUGGGCGCGAGCCUGAACCAGCCAAGUAGCGUGAAGGAUGACUGCCCUACGGGUUGUAAACUUCUUUUAUAAGGGAAUAAAGUGUUGCACGUGUGCCUUUUUGUAUGUACCUUAUGAAUAAGGAUCGGCUAACUCCGUGCCAGCAGCCGCGGUAAUACGGAGGAUCCGAGCGUUAUCCGGAUUUAUUGGGUGUAAAGGGAGCGUAGAUGGAUUGUUAAGUCAGUUGUGAAAGUUUGCGGCUCAACCGUAAAAUUGCAGUUGAAACUGGCAGCCUUGAGUACAGUAGAGGUGGGCGGAAUUCGUGGUGUAGCGGUGAAAUGCUUAGAUAUCACGAAGAACUCCGAUUGCGAAGGCAGCUUACUGGACUGCAACUGACAUUGAGGCUCGAAAGUGUGGGUAUCAAACAGGAUUAGAUACCCGGGUAGUC
RNAcentral lists this ribosomal RNA (460 nucleotides) under uncultured bacterium. RNAcentral's name for it is "partial 16S ribosomal RNA". It matches the Rfam family "Bacterial small subunit ribosomal RNA", at positions 338 to 795 of the family's 1533-position model. The record is from RNAcentral.